RNAcentral lists this ribosomal RNA (170 nucleotides) under Lactiplantibacillus plantarum. Its description in RNAcentral is "partial 16S ribosomal RNA". It matches the Rfam family "Bacterial small subunit ribosomal RNA", at positions 455 to 624 of the family's 1533-position model. Lineage: Bacteria; Bacillati; Bacillota; Bacilli; Lactobacillales; Lactobacillaceae. The record is from RNAcentral.
UAACUGUUCAGGUAUUGACGGUAUUUAACCAGAAAGCCACGGCUAACUACGUGCCAGCAGCCGCGGUAAUACGUAGGUGGCAAGCGUUGUCCGGAUUUAUUGGGCGUAAAGCGAGCGCAGGCGGUUUUUUAAGUCUGAUGUGAAAGCCUUCGGCUCAACCGAAGAAGUGC